Toxotes jaculatrix (banded archerfish) is the source of this 2247-nucleotide long non-coding RNA. RefSeq lists it as uncharacterized. The transcript has 3 exons. NCBI's taxonomy places the organism in Eukaryota, Metazoa, Chordata, Actinopteri, Toxotidae. The record is from RefSeq and is a predicted model, not a curated record.
AUCCGCACUUGUCACAUGUCAAAACAAAUGCGCUUCUGUUCCUGUCUGAAGUUUUGUCCUGUGUGCUGCAAGUUUAGGACUGACCCUGGUCUUCAGGAUCAAUGGCCUCCUGUGUAACUGAGUGGGUAACGUCAUGCUCCAACAUCAUUUUGUCUGCCACUGCACUGUAUUGUUCUUAUAAACUCUUUAAGAACCACAGAGCUCCCUCUGUAGGCCUCUUUCUGCUUGGACUCUCUGCAGCAGUUUGCGUCUUGCAUCCUUCCAGUUCAUACCUAACCUCCCUCCAGAGAGAGGCAGAGUGGGCCGGCGAAGUCCUGGCUCCAGCGCUGGUCUCCUUUGACUUCCUGUGGCUCAGUCAAGACCACAACACAGCACACACUCUCCUGUGUGGCUCUUGCCUCGUGCUGGGACUGUGUGACUGGCUCUCAGCAGAUGCUCUCACAGUGAUGACUCGCUGCCUGGGCCUGUCCUCCCUGUCCUGCUGCCUCACAGUGUGUCUUUUUGCUGGUAAUGCUUUAGGGGCCCUGGGUGGUGUGGCCCUCAGCCUUCCUUUGCUUGUGACACCACAGGUUGGAACCAGCACUUUUGGUUUUGCUCCUCUCAUUUCUCCAUCUGCCACUGAAGGACUGAUGAAGUGGUGUUUGAAAGGGUCCAUGUCAAUAGGGUGCUGGGCCUCGAUGAAGGCCCUUGGUAAGUUUCUGUUGGAUGUGACUGAUCGAUGUAACACAGACAUUUAGUAAAUCAGAGAUCUGUGUGAUUAGUGAGAGUCUGUGUACAUUUAUGUACUGUCCAGUGCUGCAAGGACAAACUUGCCAGAUGUCACUAACUCAUAAGAAUUUCAGGACAUUUGUGAGGAAGAAUUUCUGUUUUAAUGCAAGUGUCAAUAGAGCUAAACCAGUUAAUGUAUUUGCCAGUGGUAAAAAAUAAAUACAAUUUUGAUAAGCGAUUAACCAAGCAAGUAAAAAUGCAGACAUAACCUGAGCUGAUCAGAGCUUCUCAGCUAUUACAGCCAAGUAUUUGCUGCUUUUCUCUUUGUUACAUGACUAUAAAUUAAAUAUCUUUAGAUUUAGAAAGUUUCAUACAAAACAAAUAAUCUGAAGAUGUUAGCUUGGGCUCUGGUAAAUCGUGACAGGCUCUUUUCCACUACUUUGUGAGAUUUUAAAGACUAAACAAUCAAGCAAAUAAUGGAGAGAUAAUUAAAAGUGAAAAAAAUCAUUGGUCGCAGCACUAGUUUCUACAUUGGAGGUCACAGGAACAAAAUAAUAGCUUGCAAUGAUCAAGUUAAUGAGCAAAACAGUAACUUAUGGCUUAGAUAUACUGAGAAAUUAAUAUCACAGUAACCAUAAUAUCGUUGUUUCGUUUAUAUCAUGGUAUGUGCUUAAAAGUGGAAAUUCAAUUCUAAUUCAAGUACAUUCAUCAUUAGACAAAACACACAUACCACUGAACAAGCUCAUUUGCAUGAGAGGAUGUGAUCACAGUUUACCACAGACAAUACAGGGUGGCGUUGUGUAACCUUUUUCGGCAUACUGAAAGUACCUGGGUGACAUUUAGAAUGUCAGCCAAUGUGACCAUUUUAAUUUCCUCUGUGAUCAUUUCAGUGAGUGUGUGAAGUGACACAUCUCUCUGCAAACAGUUUUAGUGUUUUCAAAAACAUCUAGCUGCCUCAGAGUCUGGGUCCUAUGUGUUCUGCAGCCUCAGCAGUAUCACUGUUAAAAUAUCUGCAGUGGUCUAAGCUCUUGGCCCUGCUAUUACCUCAUCGUGCCCAUUUGAUACUUAUCAGUGCACUUUUUUUUAUUACUUCCUUGGUUUUUAGCUUCCGUGAUGUUGACUGAAAUGACCUCAUCUUUUUAACUCACCGCUACUUCAGUGAUGUCUGUAUAAUUGUGUUUGUCCACAGCGUUGUCCUUUCAAGGUAUUGAUAUUCCUUAAAGAGAUUUGUAAUGGACACUGCAGAUUCAUUCUCAGGUUUUGGGAGUUGUAAACAGCUGCCUCAGCAGUUUUACUGCAGUACAUGUGCAAGCAUCUGUGGCUCUGUGCCUAUCUGUGGGACAAUGCGUUUGUCAGACCUCAAGGCGCAGGAGUCUAGUGAUAUAAUCAAUAUAAUUGAUCAUUUUAGUGUGCAUUCAUGCAGGUAUGGUUGUGGUAAUUGUUCUUCCUGUUCUGUUUUGUAAUGAUUUGUCAUUCAGUUCAUGUCUUUUUUUUUGGCAAUGUGGACGUGUUUGAAAAUGUCACAUCCUGUACUUUUAU